GAAAUGCGAUAAGUAAUGCGAAUUGCAGAAUUUCCGUGAGUCAUCGAAUCUUUGAACGCACAUUGCGCCCACUGGUAUUCCGGUGGGCAUGCCUGUUCGAGCGUCAUUAUCACAACUCAAGCAUUGCUUGGCUAUUGGGCCUCGUCCAACUGGGCGUGCCUCAAAGAUAGCGGCGGUGUGACCUGGUCCUUGAGCGCAUUAGUUAUAUAUCGCUACGAGGUCCAGGCUGCUCCAGCCGGGAUAAUUGAAUUUUUUCUUCCAUGAUUGACCUCGGAUCAGGUAGGGAUACCCGCUGAACUUAA
This 302-nucleotide unclassified non-coding RNA is filed under the name uncultured Knufia. RNAcentral describes it as "sequence contains ITS1". The stretch from base 1 to 106 matches the Rfam family "5.8S ribosomal RNA", at positions 50 to 154 of the family's 154-position model. Lineage: Eukaryota; Fungi; Ascomycota; Eurotiomycetes; Chaetothyriales; Chaetothyriaceae. The record is from RNAcentral.